AGUGAACGCUGGCGGUAGGCCUAACACAUGCAAGUCGAACGGCAGCACAGUAAGAGCUUGCUCUUACGGGUGGCGAGUGACGGACGGGUGAGGAAUACAUCGGAAUCUACUUUUUCGUGGGGGAUAACGUAGGGAAACUUACGCUAAUACCGCAUACGACCUACGGGUGAAAGCAGGGGAUCUUCGGACCUUGCGCGAUUGAAUGAGCCGAUGUCGGAUUAGCUAGUUGGCGGGGUAAAGGCCCACCAAGGCGACGAUCCGUAGCUGGUCUGAGAGGAUGAUCAGCCACACUGGAACUGAGACACGGUCCAGACUCCUACGGGAGGCAGCAGUGGGGAAUAUUGGACAAUGGGCGCAAGCCUGAUCCAGCCAUACCGCGUGGGUGAAGAAGGCCUUCGGGUUGUAAAGCCCUUUUGUUGGGAAAGAAAAGCAGCAGGUUAAUACCCCGCUGUUCUGACGGUACCCAAAGGAUAAGCACCGGCUAACUUCGUG
RNAcentral lists this ribosomal RNA (492 nucleotides) under uncultured bacterium. Its description in RNAcentral is "partial 16S ribosomal RNA". It matches the Rfam family "Bacterial small subunit ribosomal RNA", at positions 29 to 507 of the family's 1533-position model. The record is from RNAcentral.